Corapipo altera (White-ruffed manakin) is the source of this 478-nucleotide long non-coding RNA. RefSeq lists it as uncharacterized. NCBI's taxonomy places the organism in Eukaryota, Metazoa, Chordata, Aves, Passeriformes, Pipridae. The transcript has 3 exons. The record is from RefSeq and is a predicted model, not a curated record.
ACAGAUCAGCAUGGUGGAUUUUAUGGAGGAUUUCUACGGCUGAGGGAUAACUGCGAAUUCCCAGGUUCUCCUCUGAUGGUGUCCAUCUCACAGAGCUCUGUUAGGAAGCAGCAAGUGGACCUGGGCCGUGUGAGCACCUGCCAGGAUCUACACUCACGAAGUUCAGGACCAGAUUUCUUUUUCAGUCUGAAAUAUUCCUGUUGGGCUCAGACACUCCGUGGAGUGAAAGCAAACAUUUUGAAAAGUAAGCGAUUGUCCCAGGCCAGAAAUCCCAGAGAGUCAGUGUCUUAUUGCAGAAUCACGCCCCAUAAAUGUCUCUGAAUAGAGGCACUGGGAUACAGGAGGGAGUUCCCCAAAGCUUGGCCUUUCCUUUAUGGAACAACCCACUUCACUCAGUGUGUUCCAAGAAGAGCCACAACCUUCAGUGUGGAGCUUUGAUUUCCAUUUGUCACAGGGGAGCAGCUGGUAUGAAAGUUCA